GGUAUGUUUCAGGAAAGGGUGCAAUUCCCUACUGGUGGUAAGGUGGCCGAACUUCAAGGUUUGUAACAACCUCGCUCAAGGAGCCAUCAAGUCCGCGACCCGCACAAGCGGUUAACCUGGUUAAAUUCCAGGACCAACGGUACAGUCCGGAUGUAAGAAACGGAGU
This is a regulatory RNA element of 166 nucleotides. It matches the Rfam family "FMN riboswitch aptamer (RFN element)". From Rfam's summary of the family: The RFN element is a highly conserved domain that is found frequently in the 5'-untranslated regions of prokaryotic mRNAs that encode for flavin mononucleotide (FMN) biosynthesis and transport proteins. This element is a metabolite-dependent riboswitch that directly binds FMN in the absence of proteins. The record is from Rfam.